Molecule: long non-coding RNA, 1070 nt
Organism: Cloeon dipterum
Lineage: Eukaryota; Metazoa; Arthropoda; Insecta; Ephemeroptera; Baetidae
Exons: 3
Source: RefSeq, a predicted model, not a curated record
UUGAGCUGUGCGAGGAUGGUGGUCCAAACGCGUUUUCUCUUCGCGUUCCUGCUUAUCGCGGCCGUUUUUCUCGCCCGCCAAACUCAAGCCAACGGAGAAAAAACUUAUCCCAGAGAGGAUAAAGAUGAUGGAUUGACAACCGAAAUUUUAGAAUCUGCCUUUCUCGCUCCAGAGAGGAAACCCGAAGAUCCAUGUCCGCCGGGAUUCGUCCUCAAAAGGGGAACAUGCAGGAUGACUCAUUCUUGAAAGGGGCCGUGUUCCUCGGAAGCGGCUGCUCCACGAUCAAAUUAUUUAAAAUGGAAUUAAAUUUUGAAUAAUAAAUUAAAAUUUAAUUGGAAAUAAUAAUUUUUCUUUACUCUUGAAGGUGGAACAAAAAUUUUGUAUCUUUUCAACCGCAGCAGCAUUUUGGAAACUGAAUAAAGCGGCGAGUUUAUUCGACAUUUAAUCGUUAAAUUUAACAUUUGAGGCCUAUAGGAAGCUGGAAAUUUAAAAGUUGCCGCGUAUCAAUGAAAAAAAUCGACUUUAUUAUCAUUUCGGGGCCAAAUGUCAAUUUUAAUGGGAUCCAAAAUAAAAAUAAAACACAGUAUACUCAGCGCUAUUUUUAUUUGUUUUUAAUUUAAAAUUAAAUUUCACCAAACGGACGGAAUGUUCUAUAACUUUUCGUUAUCUCCAACGCAAAAUAAAUCAAUAACUGCGUAUUUGGAUGAACGGAUGAGUCAGUCGCUUUUCAGCUUUCGUGAUGGUCCGAACGCGUUUCCUCUUCGCUUUGCUGCUCGUCGCGGCCGUUUGUCUCGUCUGCGAAACUCGAGCCACAGAGAAUGCAGCAGAUGGAGUGUCUGGCCCUCCACCUUUCCAUGCGAUGGUCAUUGCCGCUCCGGUUCGGUCCAUCGACGCUUCUUGUCCGCCGGGAUUCAUCUUUCAAAGGGGAAGAUGCAGGAUGACUCAUUCUUGAAAGUGUGUGUUCCUCUAAAGCGGCUGCUCCUCAUGAUCCAUGGUGGAAAUGUUCGAAAUAUUGUAGAAAAUUUGAAAAAUAAAAAAAUUGAAACAAUUUUUUAUUCUUUAUAAGCUAA